GUAUAGUUUAACUACAGGGAACGGUGUUGGCAGGGACUUCUAAGGCCAGUGAAAUGAAGACAGUGUUUUUCUCUCCCAGGGUCAUUCCAGCUUCAUUACUCACCUGGACUGGUCUAUAAACUCGCAGUUCCUCGUGUCAAAUUCCGGAGACUACGAAAUCCUCUACUGGGUUCCCUCUGCCUGUAAGCAAGUCGUAAGUGUGGAAACUACGAGAGACAUUGAAUGGGCUACCUAUACCUGCACUUUGGGAUUCCAUGUUUUUGGAGUGUGGCCAGAAGGCUCGGAUGGAACCGACAUCAAUGCCGUCUGUCGGGCCCAUGAGAAGAAACUCCUGUCAACAGGCGACGACUUUGGCAAAGUGCACCUCUUCUCAUACCCCUGCUCGCAGUUCAGGGCUCCAAGCCACAUCUAUGGCGGGCACAGCAGCCAUGUCACCAACGUCGAUUUCCUCUGUGAAGACAGCCACCUCAUCUCCACGGGCGGGAAAGACACGAGCAUCAUGCAGUGGCGCGUCAUUUAGUCCCCACCGAGAGCUGUGGGGAGCAGCACGGGCAAGGAAGACACAGACUCGCAUUACCCUUG
RNAcentral lists this small RNA (582 nucleotides) under Pongo abelii (Sumatran orangutan). Its description in RNAcentral is "retained intron". The record is from RNAcentral. Lineage: Eukaryota; Metazoa; Chordata; Mammalia; Primates; Hominidae.